GAAAGAUGGCUUUGGCUAUCACUCUGGGAUGGACCUGCGGUGCAUUAGCUAGUUGGUAAGGUAACGGCUUACCAAGGCGAUGAUGCAUAGCCGAGUUGAGAGACUGAUCGGCCACAAUGGAACUGAGACACGGUCCAUACUCCUACGGGAGGCAGCAGUAGGGAAUCUUCCACAAUGGGCGCAAGCCUGAUGGAGCAACACCGCGUGAGUGAAGAAGGGUUUCGGCUCGUAAAGCUCUGUUGUUGGAGAAGAACGUGCGUGAGAGUAACUGUUCACGCAGUGACGGUAUCCAACCAGAAAGUCACGGCUAACUACGUGCCAGCAGCCGCGGUAAUACGUAGGUGGCAAGCGUUAUCCGGAUUUAUUGGGCGUAAAGCGAGCGCAGGCGGUUGCUUAGGUCUGAUGUGAAAGCCUUCGGCUUAACCGAAGAAGUGCAUCGGAAACCGGGCGACUUGAGUGCAGAAGAGGACAGUGGAACUCCAUGUGUAGCGGUGGAAUGCGUAGAUAUAUGGAAGAACACCAGUGGCGAAGGCGGCUGUCUGGUCUGCAACUGACGCUGAGGCUCGAAAGCAUGGGUAGCGAACAGGAUUAGAUACCCUGGUAGUCCAUGCCGUAAACGAUGAGUGCUAGGUGUUGGAG
RNAcentral lists this ribosomal RNA (639 nucleotides) under uncultured bacterium. Its description in RNAcentral is "bacterial SSU rRNA". It matches the Rfam family "Bacterial small subunit ribosomal RNA", at positions 202 to 828 of the family's 1533-position model. The record is from RNAcentral.